RNAcentral lists this ribosomal RNA (459 nucleotides) under uncultured bacterium. RNAcentral describes it as "partial 16S ribosomal RNA". It matches the Rfam family "Bacterial small subunit ribosomal RNA", at positions 338 to 795 of the family's 1533-position model. The record is from RNAcentral.
CCUACGGGGGGCUGCAGUGAGGAAUAUUGGUCAAUGGUCGGGAGACUGAACCAGCCAAGCCGCGUGAGGGAUGAAGGUACAGAGUAUCGUAAACCUCUUUUGUCAGGGAACAAAGGCGGGGACGGGUCCCCGGAUGAGUGUACCUGAAGAAAAAGCAUCGGCUAACUCCGUGCCAGCAGCCGCGGUAAUACGGAGGAUGCGAGCGUUAUCCGGAUUUAUUGGGUUAAAAGGGUGCGCAGGCGGUCUGUUAAGUCAGCGGUAAAAGCCCGGGGCCCAACCCCGGCCCGCCGGUGAAACUGGCAGUCUCGAGUUGGAGAGAAGUAUGCGGAAGGCGCGGUGUAGCGGUGAAAUGCAUAGAUAUCGCGCAGAACUCCGAUUGCGAAGGCAGCAUGCCGGCUCCACACUGACGCUGAGGCACGAAAGCGUGGGUAUCGAACAGGAUUAGAUACCCCAGUAGUC